GACGAACGCUGGCGGCGUGCUUAGCACAUGCAAGUCGAACGGAAAGGCCCUGCUUUUGUGGGGUGCUCGAGUGGCGAACGGGUGAGAAACACGUGAGUAACCUGCCCUUGACUUUGGGAUAACUUCAGGAAACUGGGGCUAAUACCGGAUAGGAGCUCCUGCUGCAUGGUGGGGGUUGGAAAGUUUCGGCGGUUGGGGAUGGACUCGCGGCUUAUCAGCUUGUUGGUGGGGUAGUGGCUUACCAAGGCUUUGACGGGUAGCCGGCCUGAGAGGGUGACCGGCCACAUUGGGACUGAGAUACGGCCCAGACUCCUACGGGAGGCAGCAGUGGGGAAUAUUGCACAAUGGGCGGAAGCCUGAUGCAGCAACGCCGCGUGCGGGAUGACGGCCUUCGGGUUGUAAACCGCUUUCGCCUGUGACGAAGCGUGAGUGACGGUAAUGGGUAAAGAAGCACCGGCUAACUACGUG
Molecule: ribosomal RNA, 468 nt
Filed under: uncultured bacterium
Lineage: Bacteria
Description: partial 16S ribosomal RNA
Rfam family: Bacterial small subunit ribosomal RNA
Source: RNAcentral